AUAUAACCUCCCUAAACUGUGAUGAGUUUCUUCAGCAUGAAAAGCAUAAAGGCAGCUUACCUUGGUCUCAUAACAUUUCUGUUAGGUUGUAUUGAAAUCAAGUAUGGAAUCUCCAAUACCAAUCCUUUCCAGAAUUCAACUCUUUCUCUUCUGGGAUAGUUGCAUGUGAAACACUGCUGUGGAUUCUCAUUGCUCAGCUUUUCUGUUGCUCUCCGGAACACCUCCAAAUGCUUCUGACAUGCCAAAUUCAGAACAGCAACCGCAGGACCCCCAGGUGUAGCAUCUCAGAUAUGGCCCGGUUCAUCAAUAUGUAGUUUUUUAGCUGUGUUUCUGCUAUAUGCUUAUGCUCAUAUUAUAUUAUGUAGUCUUAAUUUUCUCUAUUUGUCCUGAUCAUUACGGGGCAUAUUAAUCCCCAAAUCAUGAGUUAUUAUAUGCAAUAACAACUCAAAAAUAU
RNAcentral lists this small RNA (454 nucleotides) under Vigna angularis var. angularis. RNAcentral describes it as "Non-protein coding transcript". The record is from RNAcentral. Lineage: Eukaryota; Viridiplantae; Streptophyta; Magnoliopsida; Fabales; Fabaceae.